RNAcentral lists this transfer RNA (72 nucleotides) under Gloeochaete wittrockiana. RNAcentral describes it as "tRNA-Gly". It matches the Rfam family "tRNA". Rfam says of the family: Transfer RNA (tRNA) molecules are approximately 80 nucleotides in length. Their secondary structure includes four short double-helical elements and three loops (D, anti-codon, and T loops). Lineage: Eukaryota; Glaucocystophyceae; Gloeochaetales; Gloeochaetaceae. The record is from RNAcentral.
GCGAGUAUAUAUUAAAGGUAAAUUCGUAGCCUUCCAAGCUAUUUAUAUGGGUUCAAUUCCCAUUACUCGCUA